AGCUCAAAACCCUUAUUUUGACUGCCGAUUAGGGUUUCAAAAUCCCCGCCAUUUUCACCCCUCUUCGAUCCUCUCUCGUCCUCCCUACGCCCGAAGCCCUAAUGGUGUGGAUGGCGGUGGAGGAAGACGAGAGAAAAUUCACUUCAGGGACCUUGAAACGGAGCCCCGACACCAUUGACACUUGUCUCGAAGAACAAUAACACUUAUCGGCCAAUAUAAACAAUUCAACCAGCCAGAAUGACAUUUCUCCUCCUCAACCGAGGGUUUAAUCGGCUCGGUGGCUUCUAACAUCGCUUCUCAGCCUUUACGGAACUACGAUCCCGAUAUGUGGGGAGUCCUCUCCGCGAUUUCCAGCAAUGCUCGCAAAAGCCGUCAAGGGCAUAAAUUUACUGUUGGCUUGUGCGCCGCUGAUUCAUCGAGCUGUCAGAUAUCUGACUUUCUGAAAGACACCAGAUUAGUGGACCUUUCUCCUGGUUUAGUUGUUUAAUUCACGGUAACGUCUUCAAGGAAACAUAAGACUUAGGGUUUGUCUGUGCUUUGCCUAUUUCUCUAAUUCACCACUUAUCUCAUCUGGGAACAGUUGAGAAAGUACAGCUCUGGAGUAAAGAUCCAGCCCUGUGACAUAGUAUCGUUGGCUACUCAUCCAGACCAUGGACAUAUAGGAUUUUUACCUCAGCACUGUGAAAUAAGUAUAUCACCUUUCGUAAAUGGCUUUCAAGACUAAAUAAACAGUUCAAAAGUUUAUGUCUUGUACUAUCGGCUUUUCCAUCUGUGUCCACUAUUGCAGAUCAAUUGCAGUGUUAAAGCUUAUGUCUUCAUUGUUGUAGACGUCGCAUUUGCAUAUGUGUAAGUGUAUCGGAAAGUACUUGGAUUUAUUGCCAUGACGAAACGUAUUAACAGAACAAGAAAAACAGAUGCCAUUAUCACUGAAAUCAUGGAUUUUUCCUGUCUUCUGUUUAUUCUAUCUUGUGUUGGAUGUAUAAAUAGCUGAUAUUAGAUAGAUGGAUGGAAUGACCACGUAAAGCCUUUGUCAAUUGACAUGGAAUAUUUGAUGACUUAGGAUGCUUGUUAAGCUCUUAACACCAGCAUGGUGUUUUCUCGCAUUCAAUUUAUCUGCUAAACAAUCCUCUUGCAGUCAAGAUUGCCAUUUUUGGCUGUUGUUUCCUGUUGAUUAUGUUGCCUUAAAACUAUCCAGGAUUCCAGAUACAUUGUCAUACAAGUUUGAUACGUUCAAAUUAGUGUUAACAUGAAAUGUUCAUGCAGUGAAACUCAGGGGUGGAUGUUUUAUUUUUAUGGCCGAGGACAUAGUUUUUUUUGUGAAGCAACGGGAACAGCUCAAGGCCAUGCAGAGAACUUUGGAAGAAAAUAAAAUUUAUAGUAACACUUCUGUUGAUAUGGAUCGUAAUCCAAUAAUCAGAGCUGGUAUUGAGGACAAUGAAAGAGGGUUGGCACACCAACGUUGCCAGAAAGGCAAGAUCCUCCAUUUCAGGGUGGAGGUUUAACUGGGAAAUGGAUCUGUUGAUACUUCUUCUGAAGGCGCAGGUGCUACUGAGAAGCAUGACUGUGAGUGUGACAUCAUGAUCCAAGAAGGCCAAAAUACCCAAGAACCAGAAUUCCUAAGUCUGAACGCAUUGCCAAGGGUGCCUUUGGCUCAGAUAUUGAGGGUGUUGGUACAGCUCCCAUUUUGGAUAGAGACCUUGUGGGAACUGAGCAAGUUGAUGAAACUCAAGUACAGGAGACAAUUAUGAGAGAAAUUUUAAUUUGAGCAAGUUAAACAUCUUCUAGUGAUACACUGUAGAUGGAUUAUGAAACUCAGGCACAUGAAAUGAAAGUGGUCAUCAUGAUCAACCUGAUCCUCGGUUACCAUCGAGGAGUCCCUCAUAUGACCAAUGGGGAUAUAGAAGACACUGAAAGGUAGGUGCUAUAAGAACAGCCGAUCUUCUAGCUUCUGAAGUUGCUGGAAGCUGGGCUUGUAGCGCAGCUCCUUCUGUACACGGUGUGAAUAAAGCCCAAAGACGUAGAAAGGAUGGGGAAAGUGAUACUCAAAGAGUCAAAGGGUAAAUGAAGUGCCUAUAAUACAUGAUUUUGCAGGUCAGGUUGCUCAAAGUCAAAGUAAACCUUCUUCUUCAAGGUUAUUGUUGUCAGAAGGAAGGAUAACGAUCGUUGAGCUCUGAGUGAAGUGAUAGGGUUGUUGCUCCUGAACUGAAUGAUCAGUUCUCCAACACUGAAAAAGAUCAAAGAAAGGGAAGUGAAAAUGUAAUUCUGGUUCAGACUCCGAUAGCAAGAGUCGUUCUUAUUCGGAUGAUGGUUGAGGGAAGGAAAAACACGGUUUUGUUUCAGACUUGGCCACAAAUGAUCAUUCUGAUACAGAUAAGAACGAGAUAUUACCCUCCUCUGAUGCUGAGACAGGGGAGUGAUAAAGAUCUGAAAUAGGUAGACAGAUGGAUGGAGAUGAUAAAGCUACUUAUCGACGUACUCUUUGAUAGUCCUCUUUGCUGGGUAACAUAUUUGUGAACAUCCUUUUUGUAAGUCUAAUUUAGUUUUGUGUUUUCUCCCUGCCCGUUUCUAUUCAAUAUUUAGAUUUGCAGGUGAGACUUCUGUCAUUCAAGAACAGUGGCAUAUACACCCGUUCCUUGCUAGAGGGAAGAAAGGGGGGUAGGCAAUCGACAGCAAGAGUCAGAGGAUUCAUCGAUGGGUAAUUUUGAAUUAGUGAAGGCUGAUGAUUGUGAUUUCGACCACUUUGGGUUUUGAUGGCAAGAGGAGCGUGAAACAAAAUCCAUCAUUGAAGCUGUAAGAACUCAAGGAAGUAACUUCCAACUGUGAUGUCUGGUGACAUAAGGGUGGAGGAAUUGAGAUUGGAAGCUCUCAAGUCAUACGCAUGCUUUUCCAGUUGAAAAAGGCCAAGGUUGGGAUCAUCGAAGACAUUUCUCAAACAAAAGAUCUGGAGUCAGAUUAAAAAGACAGACUUGGAAUUGGUUUUUUUCUUUUAAAGGUUUGAAAAAA
Tarenaya hassleriana is the source of this 3003-nucleotide long non-coding RNA. RefSeq lists it as uncharacterized. The transcript is spliced from 4 exons. The record is from RefSeq and is a predicted model, not a curated record. NCBI's taxonomy places the organism in Eukaryota, Viridiplantae, Streptophyta, Magnoliopsida, Brassicales, Cleomaceae.